Molecule: ribosomal RNA, 433 nt
Filed under: uncultured bacterium
Lineage: Bacteria
Description: partial 16S ribosomal RNA
Rfam family: Bacterial small subunit ribosomal RNA
Source: RNAcentral
AACGAACGCUGGCGGCAGGCCUAACACAUGCAAGUCGAACGGAUCCUUCCGGAUUAGUGGCGGACGGGUAAGUAACACCUGGGAACGUGCCCGUUGGUUCGGAACAAUUCAGGGAAACUUGACCUAAUACCGGUUGUGCCCUUCGGGGGAAAGAUCUAUCGCCAUUGGAGCGGCGCGCGUCUGAUUAGCUAGUUGGUGAGGUAACGGCCAACCAAGGCGAGGAUCAGUAGCUGGUCUGGUAGCAUGACAUGGCACACUGGCCCUGAGGCACGGCCCACACUCCUACGGAAGGCAGGAGAGGAGUAUGUGACGGAAUGAGCGAAAGCGCGACGCCGCCAUGCCGGGUGAAUGAUGCAGGUCUUAGGAUAGUACUAUCGUUUCAGAGGGGGCGUUAAUGACGGUACCCGGAAAAGAAGCUCCGGCUAACUUCGUG